GACGAACGCUGGCGGCGCGCUUAACACAUGCAAGUCGAGCGAAGCGGCGGACGGGUGAGUAACACGUGAGUAACCUGCCUUAGACAUUGGGAUAGCCUCGGGAAACCGGGAUUAAUACCAAAUGGUCUAAGAUGGACUCGCGUCCCAUUAGCUAGUUGGUAGGUAACGGCCCACCAAGGGGACAACGGGUAGCCGGCGGAAGAGGGUGACCGGCCACAUUGGAACUGAGAAACGUUCCAAACUCUACGGAAGGCAGCAGUGGGGAAUAUUGCAAAAUGGAGGGAACUCUGAUGCGGCGACGCCGCGUGAACGAAGAAGGCUUUCGAGUCGUAAAGUGCUUUUAUAUGGGAAGCGGUACCAUAAGAAAAAGCCCCGGCUAACUACGUGCCAGCAGCCGCGGUAAUAC
RNAcentral lists this ribosomal RNA (406 nucleotides) under uncultured bacterium. RNAcentral's name for it is "partial 16S ribosomal RNA". It matches the Rfam family "Bacterial small subunit ribosomal RNA", at positions 28 to 526 of the family's 1533-position model. The record is from RNAcentral.